RNAcentral lists this unclassified non-coding RNA (253 nucleotides) under uncultured Alcanivoracaceae bacterium. RNAcentral's name for it is "contains 16S-23S intergenic spacer region". It matches the Rfam family "Bacterial small subunit ribosomal RNA", at positions 524 to 776 of the family's 1533-position model. The record is from RNAcentral. Lineage: Bacteria; Pseudomonadati; Pseudomonadota; Gammaproteobacteria; Oceanospirillales; Alcanivoracaceae.
UACGAAAGGUGCGAGCGUUAAUCGGAAUUACUGGGCGUAAAGCGCGCGUAGGCGGCUUGUUAAGUCGGAUGUGAAAGCCCCGGGCUCAACCUGGGAACGGCAUCCGAUACUGGCUCGCUAGAAUGCAGUAGAGGGAGGUGGAAUUUCCGGUGUAGCGGUGAAAUGCGUAGAGAUCGGAAGGAACACCAGUGGCGAAGGCGGCCUCCUGGACUGACAUUGACGCUGAGGUGCGAAAGCGUGGGGAUCAAACAGG